This 412-nucleotide ribosomal RNA is filed under the name uncultured Rhizophagus. RNAcentral's name for it is "partial 28S ribosomal RNA". Lineage: Eukaryota; Fungi; Glomeromycota; Glomeromycetes; Glomerales; Glomeraceae. The record is from RNAcentral.
GAGAGUUAAAUAGUACGUGAAAUUGUUGAAAGGGAAACGAUUGAAGCCAGUCGUACCUAUGGGUAAUCAGCCUUUUGGGUGUGAUUUUGUGGAGCGUGAGGAGUUAAACGCCUUCAUGCCUGCAUAUUCGUGCACUUUGGGUGUACUUGCCCGUAUGGUUGGUUAACAUCAAUUUUGGUGGUCAUAAAAUGACUGGAGGAAUGUAGCUUCGAUCUCGUAUUGAAGUGUUAUAGCCUUCGGUAGAUGUGAUGAUCGAGAUUGAGGAUUGCAACGGAUACCCUUCGGGGCUACCUGUCUGAUCUCUGAUCGUUGUUCUGGUGCCGAAAGCUUGCUUAUGAUGUUAGGGUAUUACGGUCAAAAGGUUAGAACGGAUUAAAUUCGUUAAGGAUGUUGACGUAAUGACUUUAAACGA